Vicia villosa (hairy vetch) is the source of this 1752-nucleotide RNA transcript. RefSeq lists it as uncharacterized. Lineage: Eukaryota; Viridiplantae; Streptophyta; Magnoliopsida; Fabales; Fabaceae. The transcript has 18 exons. The record is from RefSeq and is a predicted model, not a curated record.
AAAAAACAGAUUUAAUUCAAUUUCAUCAUUCAAAUUCAGACACCGCUUAGAAUCAAAGACAUAAAUAGUUAUUAGAUCUAAAACAAAGAAGAAGAAGAAGAAGCUCUUUAUCAAAAACAACAAUGCAUUCAACUGAAGGAGACUUAGAUCUUAGGCAAUCUUCUCAUUCUUCUUUCACCACCGGAGAAAACGCAUUCGCCGAUGUAGGGAAUUUGGAACACUGCGCCAAGUAUUUGAACCAAUCGCUCGUCACAUUUGGUUUUCCUGCUUCGCUCGAUCUAUUCGCAAACGAUCCUGUUUCGAUAGCGAGGACUUGCAACUGUAUAUACUUUUUGCUUCAGCAGAGACAGCGUGAUGUUGAGUUUAGAGAGUCGGCGAAUGAACAAAGACAACGAUUGUUAUCUGAUAUAUCGAGAUUUGAGGCCAAAGUUGAGAGGCUUGAAGGGCAAAUACAAACUAAAGACAGAGAGAUAGCGACGUUAACUAGGAAGGAAGCUAAAAACACUGCAGCUCUUAAGGCCACAAUUGACAAGCUGCAACAGGAGAGGGAUGAAUUUCAGAGGAUGGUUAUUGGUAAUCAGCAAGUAAGGACUCAACAAGUACAUGAGAUGAAGAAGAAGGAAAAGGAAUACAUAAAAUUGCAGGAGAGACUAAACCAAGUAUUGAUGGAGAAGAAGAAAGAAUCUAGGUCGGGCAUGGAGAUAAUGAAUUUGCUUCAGAAAGAAGGGAGGCCACGUGGGACUUGGAAUGGGAAGAAAACAGACAAUGAUUUUUAUAAAAAGAUUGUGGAUGCUUAUGAGGUGAAAAAUCAAGAACUGAUAGCGGAAAAUGCUGAUUUAAGAGCAUUAUUGAGAUCAAUGCAGGUGGAUAUGCGUGAUUUCUUAAAUGCUCCUAAUGGACUACCAAAUCAAUCUCCCACUCCAAAUGAAAGAGCUGAAAGUAAUCCUUCGCAAUCUCCGCUGGUUGGGAGAACGGACGUAUUUGAUCUUCCUUUUCACAUGGCCAGAGAUCAAAUUGAAGAGAGUCUUAGAACCAAGAUGGCUUCUAUAAAGGAGCGCAUGGUUCAAUUGCAAGAUGCUCAGAAAGAGGCAGACGUCACUUCGGAAGCUACCGAGAGGGAACUUGAGCUUGAAGCUCAACUUGUUGAAGCAAGGAGCAUCAUACAAGAGCAGCAGAAAAAUAAAACUACUUUUAAAGGAAGCAAGAAUUGGUGUUUCAUUGAGGAUUGAUAUAUGCCUACAACAUGCAACUCCAUAUCUUUUGGCGGGUCCAGUCCUAAACAUGAAUCUAUAAUGGCUAAACAUCUUGCAAAGUCUGACAGACCAAGGGAAUCGGCACCGGCUGAGGGGUAGUGCUAGACUGGGAGCAUAUGGUGUAGAAAUGGUGGUGGUGAAGAUGGCAUUUAGCAUCAACCUUUUUUGAGGGAGUAUGCAACUAACAUUAUGCCCAGGUUUCAUGCUUGUCAUGAUUACUUACAUUGGCUCCAUGUAACUAAUCUUGCUUGUCCAUUCUGCAUUACCCCCUUAGUUGAUGAUGUAACAACAGGCCCUCUAACCGUCGAAUGUCAUUGUUAUUACUAUGAUAUUAUUGUUAUUAGUAUGAUAUUGUAAUUAUUGAUAUUGUAGCUUUGAAACUGCUUCUGGAAGAAACUAGUUAUAUAUGUCCGGAGGAUCACUUAAACUUUCAUAGCAUUUAAGAUUUGUAGCUAGGAAGACUUUAUGAGUUAGUAAUUAUAAAGUAUGAUUCAGUAUA